AUUGAACGCUGGCGGCAUGCCUUACACAUGCAAGUCGAGCGGUAACAGGCAGUAAGGUGCUGACGAGUGGGGAAAGGGUGAGUAAUGCAUCGGAACGCGCGCAGACUUGGGGGUCAACUACUCGAAAAAGUAGCUAAAACCGCAGACAAGCUAUAGAUGAAAGCGGGGGAAAGUAAGAACUCUCGCGAUAGUAGCGUCCGAUGUCAGAUUAGGUAGUUGGUGGGGUAAAGGCUCACCAAGCCAACGAUCUGUAGCUGGUCUGAGAGGACGACCAGCCACACUGGGACUGAGACACGGCCCAGACUCCUACGGGAGGCAGCAGUGGGGAAUUUUGGACAAUGGGCGCAAGCCUGAUCCAGCCAUGCCGCGUGCACGAAGAAGGCCUUCGGGUUGUAAACUGCUUUUGUCCGGAAAGAAACGGCUCUGGUUAAUACCACGUGCUAAUGACGGUACCGGAAGAAUAAGCACCGGCUAACUACGUG
Molecule: ribosomal RNA, 482 nt
Filed under: uncultured bacterium
Lineage: Bacteria
Description: partial 16S ribosomal RNA
Rfam family: Bacterial small subunit ribosomal RNA
Source: RNAcentral